AGUAAUAGCAAGGUUAGUAUCAGUACCCUCUACAAGGCAGUCCUGGUUGGAAACAGGCAGCGUUGUAGUGGGACAUCGGGAACUGAAAUUUGGUGGAGGAAAUAUCUUCCCCAUGUGCAGACCUGAGAACUUAAGUCAUGCGCCUGGAACAAAAUAUUCUGCCACAGUCAAAAAUCACUAUUUUAAAAAUGAUGUGCUGUUUGGAAAUUAUACGACAACCCUGAGAAGGUUUGGCAGUUCAGAGUGGUGUGCCUGUGUGGAAGAGACUCAAUAGCGGCAGUCCCUGUGGUUCCAGAGGUGGUUCCGUCCAGUCACAGGGGCACCUGCCUAUAAUCCUAGCACUGGUGGAGGGAGUUGGACAGACAUAGGGAGCAGGACCCAGGCAGGAAGACUUAGGAUUCCAGGCCAGCCUUGGCUACACUGUGAGAUCUUUCCACCAAAACAAACAAAUACAAGAUAACUGUAGCAAGUCCUUGUAAGGGCUAUAAAUUAGUGGUUCCUUUAAAGGCGACUUAAUUGCCACUUAGAAGGGCUUUUUACUGUGUGAGCCAUCUACUUCACAAAACAGAACUCUAUUAAGGUUUCUCAGAAUGGCCAGGUCUAUAAGCAGGCGGUUUGUCGAGCAGGUUUGAAAGAGACUCCCUCCCACCUUCCAUUCCCCAGUCCUCCAAAAUUCCAGAUAAGCCUAUUUUUUACUCAGAGGGCAAAGUUGGCCUCGGCUUAUGUGCGUUCCCUGCACAAAGGACAUGUUUUCAGCAAGCAGGACCACAUUCCUACCAAGCAAAAAUAUUCCCCCAUAAGCUGAUUGUCCCAGACCUAACGAGCCUUUCUCAAUGAAGCUCUGUUCUGCUGCCUGCAAAUGUGUGGCCUGUGUUCUCAGACAUGACUUGGGACAGGUGUUUGUCUUUGGAGAGGUUGGAGAGGGGCCCUGAGCCAGCUUUGGCGACCACAGAGGCACUUCAUCUAAAGCUACGAGCUUUCUCUACAUUGGAAAAGCAAAUUCUCCAACAAGACCUACUUCAAUAUCCCCCCUCCCCAUAUAAAGUCAUCCUUCUGCAAUCUUCUCACUGUCAAAAAUAGUUGAAAAUUCUAUUAUCAUAAGAGAGGAAGGGGGAGUCAAAAAGAGUGACAUUAAAGAAGCCAGCAUUUGGAAGUACCUUUUGAUGGUCCCUAAUUUAUAAAGGUCACCGCCAGAAGUGACCUUUAUAAAAAGUAUGCCCAUUGACUGCUGACGCUGGCUCUGUGAGCAAUGGGAAGGAAAGAAUAUACG
RNAcentral lists this long non-coding RNA (1270 nucleotides) under Mus pahari (shrew mouse). Its description in RNAcentral is "lncRNA (MGP_PahariEiJ_G0002155.1)". Lineage: Eukaryota; Metazoa; Chordata; Mammalia; Rodentia; Muridae. The record is from RNAcentral.